This 300-nucleotide ribosomal RNA is filed under the name Stasimopus sp. 07STAS03. RNAcentral's name for it is "partial large subunit ribosomal RNA". The record is from RNAcentral. Lineage: Eukaryota; Metazoa; Arthropoda; Arachnida; Araneae; Ctenizidae.
CUGUUAUCCCCACGGUAACUUGUUUUUAUCCUUUUUAGGGUUGAUUUGAUUUUGGGAUUAAAAAGAUUUGGUUUUUUACCGCCCCAGUUCAAAUUUCACUUAAAGUUCGAUGGGGUCUUGUCGUCUUCUCUGUAAAUUUAAGUCUUUUUACUUAAGAGAUAAUUUAAAGUGGUUAUUAUAAUAAAGAAUCUUACUCGUUUGUCCUUUCAUUCUAUCCUUUAAUUAGAAGGCAAAUGAUUAUGCUACCUUAGCGCAUAUGAUUGCGGCUAUUUAAAAUUCAUGAGCAGGGGGAACUAAUUA